UGCCAGCCGCCGCGGUAACACGUAGGAGGCUAACGUUAUCCGGAUUUACUGGGCGUAAAGCGCGUGCAGGCUGUUCAAUAAGUUAGGCGUGAAAGCUCCCGGCUCAACUGGGAGAGGUCGUUUAAUACUGUUGGACUAGAGGAUGGUAGAGGGAGGUGGAAUUCCGGGUGUAGUGGUGAAAUGCGCAGAUAUCCGGAGGAACACCAGUGGCGAAAGCGGCCUCCUGGACCACUCCUGACGCUCAGACGCGAAAGCUAGGGUAGCAAACAGGAUUAGAUA
RNAcentral lists this ribosomal RNA (279 nucleotides) under uncultured bacterium. Its description in RNAcentral is "partial 16S ribosomal RNA". It matches the Rfam family "Bacterial small subunit ribosomal RNA", at positions 506 to 784 of the family's 1533-position model. The record is from RNAcentral.